This 878-nucleotide long non-coding RNA is filed under the name Pelusios castaneus (West African mud turtle). RNAcentral's name for it is "lncRNA (ENSPCEG00000004417.1)". The record is from RNAcentral. Lineage: Eukaryota; Metazoa; Chordata; Testudines; Pelomedusidae.
AUGGCAAAGGGGGCCCCAUCGCAAAGAGGGGGGUGCUGGAGUCACUGGGGGGCUGGGCCUCCGGCACUCUGGGGUGCAGCAGUCAGUGGGAAAAAAGAUCAAUUUCACCUGCAGAAGAAGGGGAGCAGGGAUCCUUCUUCACCCGGGGGACAGACGGGGUGUCUCAGGGCGGAAUCCUGCUCCUUGGCCCCGGGAGCGGAGGGCCAGAUGGGUUGCUCCAGGGGUCCUGAUCCUUCAGCGGGGGGGACUACGACGACAGAUGCGACUCCAGGUCCUUCACCCCGCCCCACGGGGCCCCAGGAAGGCCCCGAGGGGGGUCGGCGAGGCGCAGUGGGGCCGACUCGGUGUCUUCAGCGCCUCGCUCCCCGGCGGGCGAACAGCAGCAGCGCCGGACGGUGCCCUCUCAAGCCCAUCAAGAAGUCUGGGAAAACGGAGCAGCUAAAAUACUCUGGCUCCUCCAAGAAAAAAGGAUUCGGAAGAGUAGGUUGGAAAUCUCCCUCCACAUAUCAAAAAGGGAGGACGUUCUGUUCCUGCUCAGGGACUUGCAGCCCCAGCAUGUUGGAAGAUGUCACUCCAGGUUCAGGAGGUUGGUUGGUUUCUCCUUGGGUCCUCUGCUGUCACGUGGCUCCUGUUCCAGCAUCUGAGGAAUCUGCUCCCUGAGGCCAUGUUCGGUGAUGAUAGUCUCGCUGGCUCUGACUCAAUAGCCAGUAGCUCUGCCAGGGGGGUCACGGGGCACCAGCCUGGCCUUUCCUCAGCUUUCUCCCUGCUUGCCCCACAAACUGGGUGGCUGGGGGAGUUACCAGCUGGUUUUUUUCCAGGGAGCCUCUUUGGAUGAGCCCCCUUAGCUCCUACCUUCUGUCCAGGCAGAAAUAAAAAAC